GAUGAACGCUGGCGGCGUGCCUAAUACAUGCAAGUCGAGCGAACAGACGAGGAGCUUGCUCCUCUGACGUUAGCGGCGGACGGGUGAGUAACACGUGGAUAACCUCCCUAUAAGACUGGGAUAACUUCGGGAAACCGGAGCUAAUACCGGAUAAUAUAUUGAACCGCAUGGUUCAUUAGUGAAAGACGGUUUUGCUGUCACUUAUAGAUGGAUCCGCGCCGCAUUAGCUAGUUGGUAAGGUAACGGCUUACCAAGGCAACGAUGCGUAGCCGACCUGAGAGGGUGAUCGGCCACACUGGAACUGAGCCACGGUCCAGACUCCUACGGGAGGCAGCAGUAGGGAAUCUUCCGCAAAGGGCGAAAGCCUGACGGAGCAACGCCGCGUGAGUGAUGAAGGUCUCCGGAUCGUAAAACUCUGUUAUUAGGGAAGAACAAAUGUGGAAGUAACUAUGCACGUCUUGACGGUACCUAAUCAGAAAGCCACGGCUAACUACGUG
Molecule: ribosomal RNA, 497 nt
Filed under: uncultured bacterium
Lineage: Bacteria
Description: partial 16S ribosomal RNA
Rfam family: Bacterial small subunit ribosomal RNA
Source: RNAcentral